This is a long non-coding RNA of Arvicola amphibius (Eurasian water vole), 606 nucleotides long. RefSeq lists it as uncharacterized. The record is from RefSeq and is a predicted model, not a curated record. NCBI's taxonomy places the organism in Eukaryota, Metazoa, Chordata, Mammalia, Rodentia, Cricetidae. The transcript has 3 exons.
CAGCAGCAUAUUCAACCUUAUUGAGUGUGUCUGUCUGUCAUUUCCUCGCCGAUUCCUGAUUUCUCCUAGCCUUCACCCCUGUUCUCCCGCGGUCGGUGGUCUCCACGAGAGGCGGUCCGUGGCAGGUGGCGCCCGAACAGGGACCGAAGGCCAGGUAAUCUUUCUUUCUUUCUCCCUCGAAAUCAGGUACGGCUCUUACCAGGGAACUGCAGUCCCGCCGGUAAAGGAUCACCGGUUAAGAAAACUCUGAGAUCCUAACAGUGACCCAAAGAAGACUAUGGGACACCACGAUGUCUCCGCCUGGAUAACAAUGACGCUGACCACUGGGCAAGACGAUCCCCAGUGCAACACCAGCUGCCAGGACCGGGUCCAGACUAUGGACAAACAGCAGGACCUUGGAAAAUUGAUUGCACCACUUUUACCUACACAAAAUAAGGAUGCCGACUCCCCCAUCUGGAUCCCAGACAGACUCGUCCUGGCGGUCGCUGGAGGUGCAGCGCAGAAAGAGGAAAUGGAGAAAGCAGAAGAAACGGCUGACAUGGCAGAUGAAGAAAAUGAAACUAACUUCGCCGAGAAAUCGGGAAAUGACUUGGACGAAAAUAAAGC